UAGGGAAUCUUCCACAAUGGACGCAAGUCUGAUGGAGCAACGCCGCGUGAGUGAAGAAGGUUUUCGGACCGUAAAGCUCUGUUGUUGGUGAAGAAGGAUAGAGGUAGUAACUGGCCUUUAUUUGACGGUAAUCAACCAGAAAGUCACGGCUAACUACGUGCCAGCAGCCGCGGUAAUACGUAGGUGGCAAGCGUUGUCCGGAUUUAUUGGGCGUAAAGCGAGCGCAGGCGGAAGAAUAAGUCUGAUGUGAAAGCCCUCGGCUUAACCGAGGAAUUGCAUCGGAAACUGUUUUCUUGAGUGCAGAAGAGGAGAGUAGAAACUCCAUGUGUAGCGGUGGAAUGCGUAGAUAUAUGGAAGAAUACCAGUGGCGAAGGCGGCUCUCUGGUCUGCAACUGACGCUGAGGCUCGAAAGCAUGGGUAGCGAACAGGAUUAGAUACCCUGGUAGUCCAUGCCGUAAACGAUGAGUGCUAAGU
This 474-nucleotide ribosomal RNA is filed under the name uncultured bacterium. RNAcentral's name for it is "partial 16S ribosomal RNA". It matches the Rfam family "Bacterial small subunit ribosomal RNA", at positions 355 to 821 of the family's 1533-position model. The record is from RNAcentral.